AUAACGAUGCAGGACCUUUUGGUCUUUGCAAUUGGAAUGAGUACAAUUUAAAUCCCUUAACGAGGAACAAUUGGAGGGCAAGUCUGGUGCCAGCAGCCGCGGUAAUUCCAGCUCCAA
This 117-nucleotide non-coding RNA is filed under the name Allomyces macrogynus ATCC 38327. RNAcentral describes it as "Eukaryotic small subunit ribosomal RNA". It matches the Rfam family "Eukaryotic small subunit ribosomal RNA", at positions 477 to 594 of the family's 1831-position model. The record is from Rfam by way of RNAcentral. Lineage: Eukaryota; Fungi; Blastocladiomycota; Blastocladiomycetes; Blastocladiales; Blastocladiaceae.